AGACUCUGUCUCAAGAAACACAACCGGGCUACAGAGAUAGCUCAGCCGGUCAAAGUGCUUGCCACACAGGCCUGACAACCUGAGUUUGCACCCUGGAGCACAUGGUGUCAGGAGAAAACUGAUUCCCAAAAGCUGCCCCAUGAUCUCCUCAUGAGUGUUGUGGAACAUGCACUCUUGCAUGUGCACACACUCAUGCUUGAGUAAGAGCACACACACACACACACAGGUGCACACACGCACACACACACCACUGAUGUUUGAAUUCUUUGGCUGACCAGAGUUAGACAGAUGACAUAAGCAGUCAGGAGGUGGCACACAGAACUGACCUGAGUCCAACUUGACGGCACACAUCCUCCUGCUGCAAAAAAAAUCACCCUACUCCUCACACUGUCUGUAGCAGCUGAGCGGGGCCCAGGUCUCCAGUACAGUGUGUGUACGUGACUUGAAAGUCCCUUCCUGCUCUAACCGUGGAGCCACAAGAGGCCCUUUCAGAACCAGCACAUUCCAAGCUCCUCAGUCAUUAACUCCUGCCUUGCGGUUGCACAGACGUUCCCCAUGCCUGACCUCACCAGCUCCCAGCUAGGGAGCUGGAGGAGAACCCGGGUUCUGCAGUGACUCCUGGGAAGUCACUGUCCCUGGGUUUCUGUGUGUGCUUGACUCAGUGGCUUCCCAUCUGUGAGCAGAGAAUUCCUACCUCUCGAGCUGCAGUGAGGCUGAAGGAAGCAACGGAUGAAAGUUUGCAAUCUGGAGUCCCAGUGGAGAUCUACAGGGUGAAGAUGAACACCGGGCUCUCCAUCCUGCUUCCACUCAUGCAGCUGGGAAGGUAGGAGAAGGCAACUAUGAAAUGGCGUGGAGGGCACCAGGGCUGUGGGAACAGCUCUGAGAAGAAACACACUGUAACUGGAGUGAAGGCUAGCCAGGGUGUGUCAGAUGUCCCUUCUCACCCCUUGUAUAGGCUCCAGAGAACAUGGCUGUCUUCCAUGGUCCCCAGCAGGCAGAUGUGGGGCCAAUGGUAGACGACCCACAAAAACCAAUUGGACUUCAUCCCAAGGAGGCCUCUACCCCUAGGAGCUAGAACUGCUCAGGGACAGGGGACAGAAUGCCCUGACACCCUAAAUGUAGAAGACAUAGGAAUUGUGCAGGCUGCCAGUGUGUCUAUAGCCUUGACUUUGUUUUGUUUUGAGACAGGAUCUCAUGUAGCCUAGGCUAGCCUGAAACUUGCUGUGUAACUGAGGUUGGACUUGAACUCCUAACUUUCUACCUCUACCUCUCAGAUGAUAAACAUGUACCACCAUGCCUGACUCAACUUUGACUAGCUUAGUUAGCAUCAAUAAAAGGAGUGCUGUGAGGGGUGGAGUGAGUUAAUGCUGGUAAGGUGCCCAGCGUGCACCCAUAAAGAGCAGGCCUGUAUACAUGUUUGCUCUUACGGUAAGUCUUGGUUGCCUCACGUAUAAAAUAGAUAAGACACCUGAAGUGUCCUGUUCAGCCUUCACUCUGGUUGCAACCUCUGGUCUCCUUUCCUGCCACCCUGCCUGCACAGCCUUCUGCCUAACCUCAGAGUUACUGUACCCUCCUAGGAGGCUAGAGAAAAAUGGGUAGGUUUCCCAGACAAGUGCCCUUAGCUUUACCCCUCAGUGCCUGGGGGAUGCACGUCACAGAAGUGGGGAGUUUCCCUCCUCAGUGAAUCAGCUGUGUGACCCAAUCUUCAUCCCUGCCAAGGCCCCUCCCAGUCAUCAGGAGUGGGGCGCAGCUGGCCUACUAGGAAAAUCCCCCAAAUCCUGCCAAAGCUUCGGUCGGGGCAUCUUCCUAUUCAGCUGUUUCCAGUACUCCUGGAUUCUCAUCAGGUCCCAGCUGGAGCUAGGGGUCAGAGUCUCCCCCUCCCAGAACACAUUCUUGUCUCCCUGGCCUCUGUCAUGCUUCUCUGUCUUAAGGGAGCAGACACAUCGGCUUGUGCACAACUGGGGCACUUCUGAACGCCCAUGUAAGCAGCAGCUGGCUAAGCAAGAGAAGCCGUGCUAGCCCAGGUUUGGGGAAGCUCUUAGCUUGUCAGGGGUGCCAGUUUCCACGUAGGUUGGAAUGACUCUUCCUUUUCAGACAGGCUGCUCUCCCAGGACCUAAUCCUUGGUCAGUAUUAAAGGAAUCUCUGCUUGGGCCCAGCCUGUCUCCCAAGUGACUUUGAGAACCUACCUUGUGUACUUCACAAGUCAAUCCUAUGUUCCUCCAGGACACUGUUUCUUUCUGCAGGACCCCUGUCCUCAACAGUACUUUGAUCAACAAGACUUAACCAUGGCUCAGAUGCCCUAGAGUUGAAUGAUCUGGGUUGAAAGCUUGGCUCUGCUGAUUGCUCUGUAACCUUGAGACAAUUAACUGGAAUUCUCUGGGUCUCUGUUUCCCCUUCUGCAAAAUGUAGUAACAACAGAGUUAGAGGCUGGAGAGAUGGCACACAGGAGUUAAGCACUGGCUACUCUUCCAGAAGACCCAGAUUGGAUUCCAAGC
Molecule: long non-coding RNA, 2496 nt
Organism: Mesocricetus auratus (golden hamster)
Lineage: Eukaryota; Metazoa; Chordata; Mammalia; Rodentia; Cricetidae
Exons: 3
Source: RefSeq, a predicted model, not a curated record